Molecule: ribosomal RNA, 460 nt
Filed under: uncultured bacterium
Lineage: Bacteria
Description: partial 16S ribosomal RNA
Rfam family: Bacterial small subunit ribosomal RNA
Source: RNAcentral
CCUACGGGAGGCAGCAGUGAGGAAUCUUGGUCAAUGGGCGCGAGCCUGACCCAGCCAAGUAGCGUGCAGGAUGACUGCCCUACGGGUUGUCACCUUCUUUUAUCAAGGCAUAAAGUGAGGCACGUGUGCCUUUUUGUAUGUACUUUAUGAAUAAGGAUCGGCUAACUCCGUGCCAGCCGCCGCGGUAAUACGGAGGAUCCGAGCGUUAUCCGGAUUGAUUGGGUUUAAAGGGAGCGUAGAUGGGUUGUUAAGUCAGUUGUGAAAGUUUGCGGCUCAACCGUAAAAUGGCAAUUGAUACUGGCAGCCUUGAGGACAGUGGAGGUAGGCGGAAUUCGUGGUGUAGCGGUGAAAUGCUUAGAUAUCACGAAGAACACCGAUUGCGAAGGCAGCCUACUAAACUGCCACUGACAUUGAUGCUCGAAAGUGUGGGUAUCAAACAGGAUUAGAUACCCUUGUAGUC